Molecule: ribosomal RNA, 301 nt
Filed under: uncultured bacterium
Lineage: Bacteria
Description: partial 16S ribosomal RNA
Rfam family: Bacterial small subunit ribosomal RNA
Source: RNAcentral
CAGUCGCCACGGUAAAACCGAGGAUGCAAGCGUUAUCCGUAAUGAUUGGGUGUAAAGGGUGUGCAGACGGCUUAUUAAGUCACUUGUUAAAUUCUUCGGCCUAACUGAAGGUCUGCAAGUGAUACUGAUGAGCUAGAGGGUGGAAGAGAGAAGUGGAAUUCUCGGAGUAGCGGUAAAAUGCGUAGAUCUCGAGAGGAACACCAAUGGCGAAGGCAGCUUCUUGGUCCAUUCCUGACGUUCAUACACGAAAGCGUGGGGAGCAAACAGGAUUAGAUACCCCAGUAGUCCCUGUCUCUUAUAC